GGGGUUGUGGCUAAGUAGUAGAGCACUUGCUUAGCAUGUAUGAGGCACUGGGUUCAAUCCCCAGUACCA
This 69-nucleotide transfer RNA is filed under the name Urocitellus parryii (Arctic ground squirrel). Its description in RNAcentral is "Spermophilus parryii (Arctic ground squirrel) tRNA". It matches the Rfam family "tRNA". Rfam says of the family: Transfer RNA (tRNA) molecules are approximately 80 nucleotides in length. Their secondary structure includes four short double-helical elements and three loops (D, anti-codon, and T loops). Further hydrogen bonds mediate the characteristic L-shaped molecular structure. tRNAs have two regions of fundamental functional importance: the anti-codon, which is responsible for specific mRNA codon recognition, and the 3' end, to which the tRNAs corresponding amino acid is attached (by aminoacyl-tRNA synthetases). tRNAs cope with the degeneracy of the genetic code in two manners: having more than one tRNA (with a specific anti-codon) for a particular amino acid; and 'wobble' base-pairing, i.e. permitting non-standard base-pairing at the 3rd anti-codon position. The record is from Rfam by way of RNAcentral. RNAcentral also lists the same sequence under 1 other name. Lineage: Eukaryota; Metazoa; Chordata; Mammalia; Rodentia; Sciuridae.